RNAcentral lists this ribosomal RNA (466 nucleotides) under Vreelandella stevensii. RNAcentral describes it as "partial 16S ribosomal RNA". It matches the Rfam family "Bacterial small subunit ribosomal RNA", at positions 338 to 795 of the family's 1533-position model. Lineage: Bacteria; Pseudomonadati; Pseudomonadota; Gammaproteobacteria; Oceanospirillales; Halomonadaceae. The record is from RNAcentral.
CCUACGGGUGGCAGCAGUGGGGAAUAUUGGACAAUGGGCGAAAGCCUGAUCCAGCCAUGCCGCGUGUGUGAAGAAGGCCUUCGGGUUGUAAAGCACUUUCAGUGGGGAAGAAAGCCUUGGGGCUAAUACCCUCGAGGAAGGACAUCACCCACAGAAGAAGCACCGGCUAACUCCGUGCCAGCAGCCGCGGUAAUACGGAGGGGUGCGAGCGUUAAUCGGAAUUACUGGGCGUAAAGCGCGCGUAGGCGGUCUGAUAAGCCGGUUGUGAAAGCCCCGGGCUCAACCUGGGAACGGCAUCCGGAACUGUCAGGCUAGAGUGCAGGAGAGGAAGGUAGAAUUCCCGGUGUAGCGGUGAAAUGCGUAGAGAUCGGGAGGAAUACCAGUGGCGAAGGCGGCCUUCUGGACUGACACUGACGCUGAGGUGCGAAAGCGUGGGUAGCAAACAGGAUUAGAUACCCGUGUAGUC